Phyllopteryx taeniolatus (common seadragon) is the source of this 2130-nucleotide long non-coding RNA. RefSeq lists it as uncharacterized. The record is from RefSeq and is a predicted model, not a curated record. The transcript has 3 exons. Lineage: Eukaryota; Metazoa; Chordata; Actinopteri; Syngnathiformes; Syngnathidae.
CAUAUAAUCCAGGAAAAACUGACAUUUUACCUUUGAUGCCGCCAAAGUCGAGGUGGUACAGCGACCCUACGAUAACAGAGGAUUGCCCGAGGGAUAAUCCUAGGAGGGACUUUUGCAGUGGAUUUGGGGAUUGGGUCGACACAAUCACUUCCAUCCAGGGAAAGUAAGCCCUCGACACAUGGAAUGAAUGCGAUCACAGUCAACAAAAAGGAAUGCCUGAAAAGUUCAUUAAACGCAAAUUGUCUUGUGUGUGGUUGCUUCCUGCUCGGUUUGUUUACCCAGCAGAAAAUGCUGCUAAUUGUUCCAAGUUCAACCCGAUAACUGCAAUUCUGCAGCCUCCUGGGCGAUUCUGAGUACCUGACGGACUACGCAGUCGUGGGCAGGUGUGAAGCAGAGCCUUAUUAAAGUUUUGAUGACUGUGCCUCGUUUCUUCUCUGCGGGCUUCGCAGGUAAGCAAAGAUAAUUGCACGGGAAGCAGAUGGUUGCACAAGCAGGUGAGUCCCUCCACGAUUAAUUACGUUAUACGCGUGUGACAACACUCUCCUGUAGUCAGCAUAGGGUUACCGCGUCCUCCUCUGCCAGCCUCACGGCUGCAGUUUUUGGAGGUUUUGGGUGUCAAACAGUUUUAAUUCAAUGGGCAAUCAGAUAAUGCGGAGAGAAAUCCAUGGUUAAUGGCGCGGUUGAACAGGAAGCUCCUGCAUAUCAAUCAAUCUGACCGCCGGAACGCAAAUGAGCCACAGGAGAGAGCGGCAUCUCCAGCAACAAGCCACGCUCGGACUACCGAAGGUAAAUAGACGGAAUCAAAUGUCAGCGAACUAAUAAGUAGCAGGUGAAUGAAUUUUAAAGCAGUCAUAAACACAAUUUUAUAGAUGCAAGCUGUGUUUACGUGUCUCCCCUUCAAUUCCUCCAAGGCUAUUGAUCGUGAGCUGCCAUCCAUGUUUCAAUGUCAUAAUUCAUAUAUACUAACGUUAAUGUUUCAUCUGCCUACAAUCAUUAAGGCAGCCACGGUGGUGGUAGCCAACAUUAUCUGAUUCCGUUUCAACGGCAAUGAAGGGGAUUAGCCGCUCUAUGCUAAAUGGAUUACAAUGCUAAUCUCUGCUAUCACAUUAGCACGACACAAUAGGCCUCCGCUGCCGGGCUGACUUUAUUUUGCCUCCGAGUGGUUGGGGAAGGUGAGCGAUCCGUUUGGCCCCUGAUUGACGCCGACUAAUGAGCGUAAACACGGAUGGAAAACACUGACAAGUGCAAGCACACCCAGACUGUGUGGCUGGAUGAUAAUGACGCUCGCCCAGAGGAGAGUGCUCAUCCAUUGCUCUGUGACCAGACUGUGUGGGAGACACUCUGACCAUCUCCUGUAUCCCCCUCGUGGCAGUUGGAAUAACUACACAUGCGUGACUCGCAAAAAAAAAAAAAAAAAAAAAGAAUAUAUUACUUUCCAGGCCUUCAGAGACUAAAAGUGCAGAAUGUGUGACAUACUGACAACAGAACAAAAAAACUAAUGACACCACUUGUGCAGAUGGUCUUUUUUCAGCCUUCAAUGGGAAUAAUAAUGUUUCAUCUGACUCUCUGCAGGUCUAGCAGCUAGCAGAAGGAGCGAUGCUGUCAGUGAAGCCAUUCCGCUGCGAAAGCCGCGGGAUUACCCUCUCGCUGCCUCCACAUUUUGGCAGCGAAUGCCACAAAAGGCACAUAGGAAACUUCCUCGGACUCUACGCGUAAUCAAUUUGCCGCGGGCUCCGGCGCGACGCUGAGCCGACAACCAAACAAUAACCGUAGAGAGGAAUGGUUUUCAUCACCUCUCAUCUGGGAUCUGACACCACGCCAGCGAGAGCUGCGGGGGAACCCCCGGCUCGUUGACUGACCGCCGUGGCAUUCAAGCGGAGAAGGAACCAGAGAGUUACCGUGAGGGCUGAUGGUGUUGGACGUGAAAGGGGACAUGUGUCUGGAGGCUUCCCAACUCAUUUCUUCCUCAGCCUCGCCCUCCUUUGGCUCCAAAGAGGUGAAUGGCAGGGCCGCCUGUUAUCGCUGCCUCGGGAGUAAGUGGCGUGGGGUGUUUCACAGCUCUCCUUCUUGUGCCUCUAUCUCCUUCCAGCACAGGUGUCAGUUUGAGUGGACCACCUGCAGGUGCAUGGA